This 380-nucleotide ribosomal RNA is filed under the name uncultured Nostoc sp. Its description in RNAcentral is "bacterial SSU rRNA". It matches the Rfam family "Bacterial small subunit ribosomal RNA", at positions 376 to 770 of the family's 1533-position model. The record is from RNAcentral. Lineage: Bacteria; Bacillati; Cyanobacteriota; Cyanophyceae; Nostocales; Nostocaceae.
CGAAAGCCUGACGGAGCAAGACCGCGUGAGGGAGGAAGGCUCUUGGGUUGUAAACCUCUUUUCUCAAGGAAGAACACAAUGACGGUACUUGAGGAAUCAGCAUCGGCUAACUCCGUGCCAGCAGCCGCGGUAAUACGGAGGAUGCAAGCGUUAUCCGGAAUGAUUGGGCGUAAAGCGUCCGCAGGUGGUGAUGUAAGUCUGCUGUCAAAGCGUCUAGCUCAACUAGAUACAGGCAGUGGAAACUACAUGACUAGAGUGCGUUCGGGGCAGAGGGAAUUCCUGGUGUAGCGGUGAAAUGCGUAGAGAUCGGGAAGAACAUCGGUGGCGAAAGCGCUCUACUGGACCACAACUGACACUCAGGGACGAAAGCUAGGGGAGCG